CUCGCGGCCUAUCAGCUUGUUGGUGAGGUAAUGGCUCACCAAGGCGUCGACGGGUAGCCGGCCUGAGAGGGUGACCGGCCACACUGGGACUGAGACACGGCCCAGACUCCUACGGGAGGCAGCAGUGGGGAAUAUUGCACAAUGGGCGGAAGCCUGAUGCAGCAACGCCGCGUGAGGGAUGACGGCCUUCGGGUUGUAAACCUCUUUUAGCAGGGAAGAAGCGUGAGUGACGGUACCUGCAGAAAAAGCACCGGCUAACUACGUGCCAGCAGCCGCGGUAAUACGUAGGGUGCAAGCGUUAUCCGGAAUUAUUGGGCGUAAAGAGCUCGUAGGCGGUUUGUCGCGUCUGCUGUGAAAUCCCGAGGCUCAACCUCGGGCCUGCAGUGGGUACGGGCAGACUAGAGUGCGGUAGGGGAGAUUGGAAUUCCUGGUGUAGCGGUGGAAUGCGCAGAUAUCAGGAGGAACACCGAUGGCGAAGGCAGAUCUCUGGGCCGUAACUGACGCUGAGGAGCGAAAGGGUGGGGAGCAAACAGGCUUAGAUACCCUGGUAGUCCACCCCGUAAACGUUGGGAACUAGUUGUGGGGUCCUUUCCACGGAUUCCGUGACGCAGCUAACGCA
Molecule: ribosomal RNA, 619 nt
Filed under: Microbacterium sp.
Lineage: Bacteria; Bacillati; Actinomycetota; Actinomycetes; Micrococcales; Microbacteriaceae
Description: bacterial SSU rRNA
Rfam family: Bacterial small subunit ribosomal RNA
Source: RNAcentral